CAGAGGUUUGAAACCGGGGGCCGAUUUUGAUAGCGAGAAAGGCCACGAGGCCGCCACACUCUCUUCUGCUCUUCAUCACGAGCUCCAGUGCUCGCCAAAACAACGACCAACGCUCUCCGAUCGUACCUUCAAUAACCACCGUUCCGACUCUACCUAUUCGUACGACCGCCAUGACUUUACUUGAAGAAGAGAGCUUGAAACUUAGCGAAGUUCAAAGCCUUGAAGGUCACACUGAUAGGGUAUGGGGUCUCGCUUGGAAUCCAGCUACUGGUGCCGAUGGUGUACCUGCUGUCCUUGCUUCUUGUAGCGGGGAUAAGACUAUUCGAAUAUGGCAACAACGGAGCCCUUCCUCUACUUCCUUCGAUUGCAAGGCAGUAUUAGAAGAGAGACAUACUCGGACCGUUAGAUCAUGUGCUUGGUCGCCAUCUGGUAAACAAUUGGCAACUGCAAGUUUUGAUGCCACCACUGCUAUUUGGGAACAGAAUGGGAGCGAUUUUGAAUGCGUGUCCACUUUAGAGGGCCAUGAAAAUGAAGUUAAAAGCGUGUCCUGGAAUGCAUCUGGUUCCCUUCUUGCAACUUGUAGCCGAGACAAAUGUGUUUGGAUAUGGGAAGUUUUGCCAGGGAAUGAGUUUGACUGUGUUUCUGUGUUGCAAGGACAUACACAAGAUGUUAAAAUGGUCCAGUGGCAUCCAACUGUGGAUGUUUUAUUCUCUUGUAGCUAUGAUAAUACUAUUAAGGUUUGGGCAGAGGAUGGUGAUAGUGAUGAUUGGCGUUGUGUGCAGACUUUAGGUGAAUCAAACAGGUCACUUCCAACCAGAAUUCAUGGAGCUAAUUCUGCUGAUCCAUUGAUCCUGUUCAAAUUGUUGGACACUCAUCUACAGUAUGGGCAUUAUCUUUUAAUGGCACUGGAGAUAAGAUGGUUACAUGCAGUGAUGAUCUCACCAUCAAGGUUUGGGGUGUGGACAUUACAAGAUUGCAAUCUGGUGAUGGGAAUGCAUCUUGGAGACACCUUUGCACUAUGUCUGGUUAUCAUGAUAGGACGAUUUUCUCGGUCCAUUGGUCAAGGGAAGGCAUAAUAGCUACUGGAGCAGCUGACGAUGCCAUACGCUUAUUUGGCGAGUCUGAAGAUCAUCCGGUUGAUGGACCUUCGUAUAAGUUGCUUCUCAAGAAGGAAAAGGCUCAUGCCAUGGAUAUAAAUUCGGUGCAAUGGAGCCCUGCGGGGAACAGGCUUCUUGCUUCUGCAAGUGAUGAUGGGACCAUCAAGAUCUGGAAGCUGGAAUCGUUGCAGUGAACACCAUAACAUUCUUUUCCAGUAAUCCCCCGCUACUUUUAUAGUAUCAUAAUUACGUAUUUAAACCAUAACGCUUCUAAUUUUGGUCUAUAAAUCUAUAAUAACAUGAGUUAUUUAAGUUGUGUGUAAUUUAUGUAGUUUAAUGGAAUGCAUUGAUCAUAACAAUGAA
This is an RNA transcript of Cynara cardunculus var. scolymus (artichoke), 1460 nucleotides long. It is a transcript of the gene named protein CIA1, with no coding region annotated. The record is from RefSeq and is a predicted model, not a curated record. The transcript is spliced from 11 exons. Lineage: Eukaryota; Viridiplantae; Streptophyta; Magnoliopsida; Asterales; Asteraceae.